UCUUCUCUGGGGGCAGGGCACUAGAGCAGACGCACAAUCGCUUUAACAGAGUCCAUAGCUGAAGAGAACCCCACACCCAGAGAAGAGGGAUCAUGGUAAGCGCAUUCUGGGGAACAAGAGUAAUGGAGAUAGUGAAGAAGCACGACUCAGGAGGUCUAGUCUGGAAGAGAAUAAAACUGACCACUACCCGUAAAGCCAACGCCAAGAAGCGACUCCUCAGGGUUUGGCAGAAUGAAGCUGUCUUGAAGGCAUGUGCUGAGCCACCGCCUUCAAAAACUUCUGUAGCUGAUGCUGUUGGUGUUGCAGAGAAAGCUGGCAUCAACAGCCAAACUUAACUUGCGAAAUGAGUGAGAAUAGGUCUCAAGGAUGUCAUGUGGUUGCAAAUUUGGUGAACACAGUGUUCAUUCCUGUGUCUGUCUGGGAUUAUUUGCGUUUUAGGCUCUGAUUUUAGUUUGUCUAUCGGACCGACUCCAAUGUAAAAGGGUUUCUAGAUUCUAUAAGAUUCUUUUUAACAUAGAUGGAACUUCAGGUUUUUUUCCCCCCUUUUUUAAGCUCUUGAGCAAAAAUCUAUAUUGACCUUUGUGUGUUGGUAGCUUGUGCAAUCUGCUUCAUACCAUUAAUAUUAUGCUGUUUGAUUACUCAGUAUCUUGUUUAGAUGACUCCUUAAUUUCCUAUAAAUGCAAAAAGUUUUUUCUUCAGGAGAGUAUGCAACCAUGAGUUUUCUGAAGUAAUUAAAACAUGGCAUACCAUGAUCUAUUCUUGUUUAGGUAAAAUGACAGUGUAUUGAAAGGUUUUGUAGUGAUAAUGCUUGAGAAGAACUAAGUUUUCUUGUUUGCUGAAUAUAGCUUGAUGAAAGGUUUUGUAGUGAUAAUGCUUGAGAAGAACUAA
Molecule: unclassified non-coding RNA, 888 nt
Filed under: Hevea brasiliensis (rubber tree)
Lineage: Eukaryota; Viridiplantae; Streptophyta; Magnoliopsida; Malpighiales; Euphorbiaceae
Source: RNAcentral